RNAcentral lists this ribosomal RNA (98 nucleotides) under uncultured eukaryote. RNAcentral's name for it is "partial Trypanosomatid mitochondrial large subunit ribosomal RNA". The record is from RNAcentral.
UGUGUAGUACAGACCUUAACGUAUUUAAAAAACAAUCAAAAAAAAAGAAGAGGGAGAAAAAUUCUAAAAAAAAGUCUAAAAGGGGGGGGAAGCUCUGA